GGUGAUGUACCUAGUAGUAUAAGAAAUUAAUAUGAGAUUAACUAAGUUAACUAAAAUUCUAAGCAGAUAUUUGAUUAUGACACUAUCUGUAUAGGUCUUGACCAAGUCACGUGCCAGCAGUCGCGGUAAUACGUGGAAGACAAGUGUUAUUCAUCUUUAAUGGGUUUAAAGGGUACCUAGACGGUUAAUUAAGCAAUUAAAUGUACUAAUUAACUAGAGUUUAAUGUAAGAAAGAUGAGUACUGUUAGAGUAGAGAUAAAAUUCUAGGAUAAUAUCAGGAACUGGUAAGAGCGAAGGCUACUUUCAAUGUAAAAACUGACGUUAAAGGACGAAGGCUAUAUUUAAAAAGUAGGAUUAGAGACCCUUGUAUUUUAAGCAGAGAAUUAUGAGUGUCAUACACAAGAUAAUUAUUUUGUGUAUAAAUGAAAGUGUAAGCACUCCACCUCACGAGUAACGUGGCAACACGGGAACUGAAAUCAUUAGACCGUAUCUGAAACCCGUAGUGAAGUAUGUUGUUUAAUUUGAUAACCCUCAAAUAACCUUACCACAAUUUGAAUUACUAUUACAAAAUAGUAACAAGUGUUGCACGGCUGUCUUUAGUCAAUGUUGUGAAAUUUUGGUUAGAUCCAUUAAUUGACGUAAACCCUUACUUUAUUUAUUAUAAAGUAGUUCGCCGCUA
RNAcentral lists this ribosomal RNA (679 nucleotides) under Ocellularia aff. laeviusculoides Lumbsch 20206a. RNAcentral describes it as "SSU rRNA". It matches the Rfam family "Bacterial small subunit ribosomal RNA", at positions 388 to 1140 of the family's 1533-position model. Lineage: Eukaryota; Fungi; Ascomycota; Lecanoromycetes; Ostropales; Graphidaceae. The record is from RNAcentral.